CAUGCUAAGUUUAAGCAUAUCAAUAAGGGGAGGAAAAAACCUUACAAGGUUUCCCUUAGUAAUGGCGAGCUAACUGAGAAGAGCCCAGCUUGAGAAUCGGGCAUCGUCGACAUUCGAAUUGUAGUCUGGAGAAGCGUCCUUCGUGGCGAACCAGGCACAAGUCCCUUAGAAGGGGGCCCUAGAGAGGGUGAGAGCCCCAUUACGCUUGGACCCUGCUGCACCACGAGGCACUAUCAACGAGUCCAAUUGUUUAGGAAUGCAGACCCAAUCGGGUGGUAAGUUCUGUUUUAAGCGAAAUAUGGGUGAGAGGCCGAUAGCAAACAAGUACCACAAGGGAAAGAUGAAAAGAAGAUUGAGAAGAGAGUCAAAUAGUGCUUGAAAUUGUCGGGAGGAAAGCGAAUGGAGGCCAGUGAUGUGACUCAGUCGGAUGUGGAAUGGUGACAAGCUGGUCUGCCAAUCAACUUGGGGCAUGGAUUGAUGCAAAUUAAGACGGUAGCCUACGCCUAGGCAUUUGUUACACUUGUAGAGAUGUCGUUGUCUCGAUUAUGGUUGGCAGCGCACGCCUUCUAGCAAGCUUCAACCCAUCUUGAAACAUAAACCAAGGAGUCUGACAUGUGUGCGAGUUAACAGACGAGUAAACCCAUAAGGCACAAGGAAGCUGACUGGUGAGAUCCCUAGUGGGUUGCACGACUGACCGACCUUGACCUUCUGAGAAAGGUUCAAGUGUGAGAAUGCCUGUCGAGACCAAAAAGAUGGUGAACUAUGCCUGAGCAAAGCGAAGCCAGAGGAAACUCUAGUGGAGGCUCGUAGCGAUAUUAACGUGCUAAUCGUACUUGGGUAUAGGGGUGAAAGACUAAUUGAACCGUUUAGUAGUUGGUUCCCUCUGAAGUUUCCCUUAGGAUAGUUAGAGCCUGUGGACGAGUUCUAUUGGGUAAAGCCAAUGAUUAGAGCAUCAGAGGCGUAAUGCCCUCAACCUACUCUUAAACUUUAAAUAAGUAGGAGGACGCGGCUACUUUGUUGAGUCGCGCAAUGGAAUCCACAGCUCCAAGUGGGCCAUUUUUUAUAAGUAGAACUGGUGAUGCGGGAUGAACUGAAAGUCGGGUUAUGGUGCCUAACUGCUCGCUAACCUAGAUCCAACAAAGGGUGUUGGUCAAUUAAGAUAGCAGGAUGUUGGUCAUGGAAGUCAAAAUUUUCUAAGGAGUGGUAACAACUCACCUGCUGAAUCAACUAGCCUCGAAAAUGGAUGGCGGUGAAGCACAUAACCUAUACCCGGCCAACGGGGUAAGAGCUAGUCCCUAAUAAGUUUGAGGGCAUGACAGUCACUGCAAAAUCUUGGACGUGAGCCCAGUGGAGCAGCAAUCGGUGCAGAUCUCGGUGGUAGUAGAAAAUAUUCAAAUGAGAACUUUGAAGGUCGAAGAGGGUAAAUGUUCCAUGUGAACGGCACUUGCAGAUGGGUUAGUCGAUUCGAAGAGACGGGGAAAACUCGUCUGAUAACGCGACAGUGCAAAUUUUGAAAGGGAAUCGGGUUAAAACUUAUGAACUGGGACAUGGCGACUGAUGACAACGUAAGGGAUUCUGAAGAUGUCGACAGAGGCCUUGGGAAGAGUUAUCUUUUCUAUUUAACAGUUUGCCCACCCUAGAAACGGCUUAACUGGAGGUAAGGUCCAGUGGCUGGAAGAGCAUCGCACGUCGCAUGGUGUUCGGUGUGCCUCCGCGACCUUUGAAAUUCAGAGGAUCGAGUGCCUCUCCCGCCUAAUCGUACUCAUAACCGCAUCAGGUCACUAAGGUGAACAGUCUCUGGUC
Molecule: non-coding RNA, 1803 nt
Organism: Cucumis melo (muskmelon)
Lineage: Eukaryota; Viridiplantae; Streptophyta; Magnoliopsida; Cucurbitales; Cucurbitaceae
Source: Rfam